GGUGGCUCAGUCGGUUAAGCGUCUCUUGAUCUCAGCUAAGGUCUUGAUCUCAGGGUCGUGAGUUCAAGCCCCACAUUGGGCUCUGCACUGGGCACGAAGCCUACUUGAAAAAAAAAAAUUUGCUCAAAUGUCUCUAGAUUCUUGACUAUCCCUUCACAGUUACGGAUGGGGCCUUAAAACUGUUGGAAGCUCUCUGUACUUUGUCAGGACUAAUCAACUCUUGGGCCUCAUUUUAGGAUGCGUGGUAGGCAGAAAAAGGACCCGCGAGAGAUGCCCAAGGCUCCACCCCCGGAAUCUGUGAAAACGGUGCUUUAGACGGCAUGAGGGACUUUGCACAGGUGAUUCGGUUAAGGCCUUUGAGAUGGGGAAAGAAGCAUGCAUUACCCAGGUAGGAUCAAUCCAAUCACAUGAGUUCUUAAAAGCAAAUCUUUCCCGGCUGUGGUCGGAGAGACCCAAUGUUGCUGGCCAAGGAACGCCGUCACCUCUAGAAGCUGGAAAAAGCAGGGGGUAUGGGGGAGGGGGAACGAUCUCCUCUAGAAUUUCCAGAAAGGAACACAGCCUUGCUGACUCAAGAUUUUGCCCCAGUGAGACCUGUAUCCGACUUCUGGCCUUCAGAAUGAUCUGGAAAAGCACCUAGAGUCACAAACUCAGAAACGCAGAACAGGAAUAGACCCCUACUACCACCGAGCGAACGAACAAAAACAGGACAAUAUGAAAUGAGUGUAUCGCGGUAAUGGUGGAAGAGCUUCUCUGAUCAGCAAAUAACAGUCAUAAAUUCCUGUCACAUAUAAAAACAACCACUUGAAGGCACACUGGAGAACAGCCAGAAAGAACCAGAAAACUGGCGGACACUGGGCAGAAGAGCAGAGUACUGGGCAUCUAUGAGAAGUAAAUCCUCGGCUUGUGAGUGCACAUUAUAACAACGGCAAGGACUGUCUGGGGACUGGCUUCUGCUUCUGUGCAUUCCAAGCCCAGUUCUGCUACCACAACUCACAUCAUUUUGGUGCCAGGCAGGCAGUCUUGUUGCAAUAGGACCGCGAUGCUGGGAGAGUAGGCUCCAUGAGAUCACCAGUGUUCUCCGAAGCCGUUCCAGCACCAGAACGCAUAGGAAUAACUUAAUUCUACAGAAAUGACUGCAAAUCACAUGAAGAUCGUCUGUGAACCCCAAAUUGCUUCUUCAGCUCCACUCUGCCUUAGCCAGAUUCAAGUCGUACUAAGGCGACCCAGCGGGACUGGAUCUGAGGAGGCAUGUGACCUAGGGAAAGUUGGAGAAGGAAGAGCAACUUUAACAGGCUAUGGUUACAAUAGAUCUCACACGGGGCACCUGGGGGGGCUCAGUCAAUUAAGUGUCUGACUUCAGCUCAGGUCACGAUCUCACAGUUCGUGGGUUUGAGCCCCAAGUCGGGCUCUGUGCUGACAGCUCGGGGACUAGAGCCUGCCUCGGAUUCUGCGUCUCCCUCU
Molecule: long non-coding RNA, 1461 nt
Organism: Felis catus (domestic cat)
Lineage: Eukaryota; Metazoa; Chordata; Mammalia; Carnivora; Felidae
Exons: 3
Source: RefSeq, a predicted model, not a curated record